Mangifera indica (mango) is the source of this 1473-nucleotide RNA transcript. It is a transcript of the gene named syntaxin-132-like, with no coding region annotated. The transcript has 15 exons. The record is from RefSeq and is a predicted model, not a curated record. NCBI's taxonomy places the organism in Eukaryota, Viridiplantae, Streptophyta, Magnoliopsida, Sapindales, Anacardiaceae.
CUUUGUUGAUGGUAUUUGAUUAAUACAAUCAAUUAAAACGCCGGCCGAACAUAGUAAUUAAACAACUGUUAACAUUUAACAACACAAACCUCCAUUUAGGACUGACUGGCGUCUCUCUUUUUCAGUGAUUUGACCAACAUGAACGACUUGCUUACGGACUCGUUUGUGAGCGAUGCCAAAGGCCAGCCUUCCAGAGAUAAUGACAUCGAAAUGGGAAUGCGAGAUCCGAGGAGUAAUUCUGAUUUGGGAAUGGAGGCUUUCAAUAAGCAGAUACAAGAGGUUGAAAAACAGGUUGACAAGCUCUCUGGCCUACUUAGGAAACUGAAGGAUGCAAAUGAGGAGUCAAAGUCCGUAACCAAAGCAUCUGCAAUGAAAGCUAUCAAGAAGCGUAUGGAGAAAGAUAUUGAUGAAGUGGGAAAGAUUGCGCGAAAUGUCAAAGCAAAAAUAGAAGCAAUAAAUAGAGAGAAUUUAGCUAAUCGGCAGAAACCUGGGUGUGAAAAGGGAACAAGUGUUGACAGAUCGAGGAUGAAUGUCACGAAUGCCUUGACCAAGAAGUUCAAGGAAGUACUGACAGAGUUUCAGACACUAAGACAAAGGAUCCAAGAUGAGUAUCGUGAGGUUGUGGAGAGAAGGGUCAUUACAGUAACGGGAUCCAGACCGGAUGAAGAGACAAUUGACAACCUGAUCGAAACUGGAAAUAGUGAGCAAAUCUUCCAAAAGGCAAUUCAAGAGCAAGGGCGAGGACAGGUUCUGAAUACCUUGGAAGAAAUUCAGGAGAGACAUGACGCUGUCAAAGAAAUUGAGAAAAAGCUUCUUGACUUGCACCAGGUUUACCUUGAUAUGGCAGUACUCGUUGAGGCUCAAGGAGAGAUUUUAGACAACAUUGAGAGCCAGGUGACAAAUGCAGUAGACCAUGUUAACAUGGGCACAGAUGCUCUUCGUGUAGCAAAGAGCAUGCAGAAGAAGUCAAGAAAAUGCAUGAUGAUUGCCAUUAUCUUGCUCCUGGUUAUUGCGAUUAUCAUCGUACUCUCCAUUUUGAAACCCUGGAAGAAAUAAACACAAAUUCCAUGAUUGCAGGACAAGCUCCAUUCAUCAUAAUUUUAUUUAUGAAACAACCAUAUGUUUUAUUAUUGAUUGCAAGCAAACAUAGCAGACAUUGUAAGUAACGUGUUGAAGGGCUGCAAACUCUUGAGGUACUCCGAUCAGAUCCACCUUUUCUCUGCCAUCUAUUCUGGAUUGCGACUUGCGAGUUCAGAUUUGUGUUGAGAGAGGAAUAGACAUGUGUUAAUUAAACGCAGCGUUUAACUUUUGUCAUUGUCAAAGCGCGCCGUGUGGGCCGACUAAUUAUGGGCUUACACGAACCCACACACAGCCACGUUUUCUUUUAUGAUUAUGCUGACUGUAACCGAACUCAGUGUAGACAUUACAAAUUUUGUAUCAUACCGUAUAUUAAAAAUUAAAUUUUUUAUAUUA